Molecule: ribosomal RNA, 593 nt
Filed under: uncultured bacterium
Lineage: Bacteria
Description: bacterial SSU rRNA
Rfam family: Bacterial small subunit ribosomal RNA
Source: RNAcentral
GGGCCUAACACAUGCAAGUCGAGCGCGCCUUCUCGGGGUGAGCGGCGGACGGGUUAGUAACGCGUGGGAAUAUGCCCUUUGGUACGGAAUAGCCUCUGGAAACGGAGAGUAAUACCGUAUGAGCCCUUCGGGGGAAAGAUUUAUCGCCAAAGGAUUAGCCCGCGUUAGAUUAGGUAGUUGGUGGGGUAAUGGCCUACCAAGCCUACGAUCUAUAGCUGGUUUUAGAGGAUGAUCAGCAACACUGGGACUGAGACACGGCCCAGACUCCUACGGGAGGCAGCAGUGGGGAAUCUUGGACAAUGGGGGCAACCCUGAUCCAGCCAUGCCGCGUGAGUGAUGAAGGCCUUAGGGUCGUAAAGCUCUUUCGCCUGUGAAGAUAAUGACGGUAGCAGGUAAAGAAACCCCGGCUAACUCCGUGCCAGCAGCCGCGGUAAUACGGAGGGGGUUAGCGUUGUUCGGAAUUACUGGGCGUAAAGCGCACGUAGGCGGAUCGGAAAGUUGGGGGUGAAAUCCCGGGGCUCAACCCCGGAACUGCCUCCAAAACUAUCGGUCUAGAGUUCGAGAGAGGUGAGUGGAAUUCCAAGUGUAGAGGU